UCUUUUCCUUUUUUUCCAUCCUCCUCUUUAAUACGUAGGGAGCAAGCGUUGUCCGGAUUUACUGGGUGUAAAGGGUGCGUAGGCGGCUUUGCAAGUCAGAUGUGAAAUCUAUGGGCUCAACCCAUAAACUGCAUUUGAAACUGUAGAGCUUGAGUGAAGUAGAGGCAGGCGGAAUUCCCCGUGUAGCGGUGAAAUGCGUAGAGAUGGGGAGGAACACCAGUGGCGAAGGCGGCCUGCUGGGCUUUAACUGACGCUGAGGCACGAAAGCGUGGGUAGCAAACAGG
Molecule: ribosomal RNA, 284 nt
Filed under: Ruminococcus bromii
Lineage: Bacteria; Bacillati; Bacillota; Clostridia; Eubacteriales; Oscillospiraceae
Description: partial 16S ribosomal RNA
Rfam family: Bacterial small subunit ribosomal RNA
Source: RNAcentral